This is a small nucleolar RNA of Carya illinoinensis, 92 nucleotides long. RefSeq annotates it as small nucleolar RNA R24. NCBI's taxonomy places the organism in Eukaryota, Viridiplantae, Streptophyta, Magnoliopsida, Fagales, Juglandaceae. The record is from RefSeq and is a predicted model, not a curated record. The transcript has a single exon.
UCUGCGGUGAUGAGCCACUAACAUGUAAGAAGAAACCGUAUAAUAUGGUUUUCUCGAUGAAAUGUGCUUGUUACGCUUGGCUUCUGAGCUUC